CACGUAGGGUGCGAGCGUUGUCCGGAAUUACUGGGCGUAAAGCGCACGUAGGCGGCUUUGCAAGUUAGAGGUGAAAGCCCGGGGCUCAACUCCGGAAUUGCCUUUAAAACUGCAUCGCUAGAAUUGUGGAGAGGUAAGUGGAAUUCCGAGUGUAGAGGUGAAAUUCGUAGAUAUUCGGAAGAACACCAGUGGCGAAGGCGACUUACUGGACACAUAUUGACGCUGAGGUGCGAAAGCGUGGGGAGCAAACAGG
Molecule: ribosomal RNA, 253 nt
Filed under: uncultured bacterium
Lineage: Bacteria
Description: partial 16S ribosomal RNA
Rfam family: Bacterial small subunit ribosomal RNA
Source: RNAcentral